GUAAGAUAAGCUAAAUAAUAAGCUAGUGGGUUCAUACCCCAAAUAUGAAAUUAUAUUCUCUUACUA
Molecule: transfer RNA, 66 nt
Filed under: Orobdella nakahamai
Lineage: Eukaryota; Metazoa; Annelida; Clitellata; Hirudinida; Orobdellidae
Description: tRNA-Met
Source: RNAcentral